GCCUGUCCCAGUUCGGACUGGAGUCUGCAACCCGACUCCACGAAGUUGGAUUCGCUAGUAAUCGCGCAUCAGCCAUGGCGCGGUGAAUACGUUCCCGGGCCUUGUACACACCGCCCGUCAAGCCAUGGGAGCCGGGGCGCCUGAGGUCCGGGACCGCGAGGACCGGCCUAGGGCGAAACUGGUAACUGGGGCUAAGUCGUAACAAGGUACC
This 211-nucleotide ribosomal RNA is filed under the name uncultured bacterium. RNAcentral describes it as "partial 16S ribosomal RNA". It matches the Rfam family "Bacterial small subunit ribosomal RNA", at positions 1281 to 1500 of the family's 1533-position model. The record is from RNAcentral.